Molecule: transfer RNA, 71 nt
Filed under: Chlorotetraedron incus
Lineage: Eukaryota; Viridiplantae; Chlorophyta; Chlorophyceae; Sphaeropleales; Neochloridaceae
Description: tRNA-Asn
Rfam family: tRNA
About the family: Transfer RNA (tRNA) molecules are approximately 80 nucleotides in length.
Source: RNAcentral
UCCUCUCUAGCUCAGUGGUAGAGCGACUGACUGUUAAUCAGUUUGGCGCUGGUUCAAUUCCGGCGAGAGGA